This 631-nucleotide long non-coding RNA is filed under the name Androctonus crassicauda. The record is from RNAcentral. Lineage: Eukaryota; Metazoa; Arthropoda; Arachnida; Scorpiones; Buthidae.
GUUAUCUUUGCUUGAAUGUCUCUUAUAAAGCCUUUUUUUGUAAUUAUGCUGGAGGCCAACUUCAUAUAUAUACUUUAACUCUAUAUUAAGGUCUUGCUGUUCCGUAAAGUAUAGGUAUGUUCUUUUAAAGAAAGCUCUGAAUGCUGCCUUUUUAUAUGCUACAAGGUCUGGCGACCAAUUGGGUAUUAUGGUUGGCUGGUAUUCUGAUUUCCUGUAUACUAUGGUCCUCAGUCUACUUCCAUCUUAUUUAUAAUAUUUAUAUUUAUGUCUAAAAAGUGUGCUGAUAUUUGGCUUUGCUGUAGUUUAUUAAGUUUCAAACCAUAUGCAGAUAGGGUGAAAGCUUUUUCCAGUUCUGUAGUUUUAGUUUCAUCUUCCCACAAGGUGAAUAUAUCAUCCACGUAUCUGAUGUAUAGUUUUAGGAAUGGCUCAAAUUCCUUUAGGGUUACUUGCCCUCCCUGCCUUAAGAGUAUUCUUAAGGCAGGUAGAGCAAGUCAAUCAAUAUCCAAUCUGGCUUGGGCUCUUCAAAUAAUCAAACAGGCAAUAUUGAAUUUAUGAUUGGUGGGUGCAUCCCCAAAUUUAUCCUUCUUCAUGGCGAUGGGCAAUGCAGAGUGGUUGCUGAUUUCAAAUUCAC